This 253-nucleotide ribosomal RNA is filed under the name uncultured prokaryote. RNAcentral describes it as "partial 16S ribosomal RNA". It matches the Rfam family "Bacterial small subunit ribosomal RNA", at positions 525 to 777 of the family's 1533-position model. The record is from RNAcentral.
ACGGGGGGGGCAAGCGUUGUUCGGAAUUACUGGGCGUAAAGGGCGCGUAGGCGGCCUGCUAAGUCGGACGUGAAAUCCCUCGGCUCAACCGAGGAACUGCGUCCGAUACUGGUGGGCUUGAAUCCGGGAGAGGGAUGUGGAAUUCCAGGUGUAGCGGUGAAAUGCGUAGAUAUCUGGAGGAACACCGGUGGCGAAGGCGGCAUCCUGGACCGAUACUGACACUGAGGCGCGAAAGCGUGGGUAGCGAACAGGA